GGCAGACAACACUCUUUGGCCAGCAGAUCACCCUUCUCAGUGAAAGCACGCUAGAGCAAGCUCCUGUGUUCCAGAUCCUCUGAUGGAACCUACUGUGUUCCCAGAGCCCUGAGGACUUGAGUUUGAAGUGCCACUGCCACCCCAACACAGAGCACCACUGCCACCUCUACAUCGGGCAACACUGUCACCUUUACAACAGGGUUUGUAUUAGGCUACUGCUGUUUUCCCCUAAAGAAAUAUUCUCACAAAGUAUUUUUGCUCUAAGUUCUCCAGGCAGCUGUGGACUUGAUGGUUGUGAAUUCACCUGUGGAUCAUCUCCUCCAUAAGCUCUCCUCGGGUCGGUUUGCAUUUUCAUAGCUAUGAGACUAAGAGAGUUACUUGUGAGUCUAAACAUGCAUCCGUACCCAGGAUUCAGAGGCGCUGAAGCUGGCUAAGAAAUGAGCAGUUGCAAGUCUCUGCACUCUCCAGCCUCCAUUGCUGAAAAGUUAGAUGUAAAGUCUAUGGGAGAAAUAUGGCAGUGAGUCUGGGUCCAGAGAAGCCUUGCUCUUUGAAGUUAAGGACUAUGAAGAUUCAUACUGCUAAGUGUUCAAAGUUUAUGAAUGAAGAGACUGUCAGGCUGAGUUCCAGAAAGGCCAAAUGUUCUGCUUGUAACACAGCUACACGGGGGACAGAACUACGUGACUCAUGGUCUCCAGCUUCCCAGGUCAGUUGCUGGCUUCUCUGCAGAGGACUGUGAAAAAUUCGA
Molecule: long non-coding RNA, 745 nt
Filed under: Mus spicilegus (steppe mouse)
Lineage: Eukaryota; Metazoa; Chordata; Mammalia; Rodentia; Muridae
Description: lncRNA (ENSMSIG00000016484.1)
Source: RNAcentral